CGGGGCGUAGCGCAGCCUGGUAGCGCGCUUGCAUGGGGUGCAAGAGGUCGCAAGUUCAAAUCCUGUCGCCCCGA
RNAcentral lists this transfer RNA (74 nucleotides) under Pseudomonadota bacterium. Its description in RNAcentral is "Proteobacteria bacterium (gut metagenome) tRNA-Pro". It matches the Rfam family "tRNA". Rfam says of the family: Transfer RNA (tRNA) molecules are approximately 80 nucleotides in length. Their secondary structure includes four short double-helical elements and three loops (D, anti-codon, and T loops). The record is from RNAcentral. Lineage: Bacteria; Pseudomonadati; Pseudomonadota. RNAcentral also lists the same sequence under 3 other names.